This 343-nucleotide long non-coding RNA is filed under the name Pan troglodytes (chimpanzee). Its description in RNAcentral is "long non-coding RNA NONPTRT017766". Lineage: Eukaryota; Metazoa; Chordata; Mammalia; Primates; Hominidae. The record is from RNAcentral.
UUUGUAUUUUUAGUAGAGACAGGGUUUCAUCAUGUUGGCCAGGAUAGUCUCGAACUCCUGACCUCAUGAUCUGCCCACCUUGGCCUCCCAAAGUGCUGGGAUUACAGGCGUGAGCCACUUUUGCUAUAACUUCAUGUGCAUAGGAAAUCAUAUUAAUAGGAACAUGAGAUUAUUAUAGGUACUAUUAUGAAAAUUGCAACUUAAAAUUUUUUUAAGUCUAAUACUUGGCUUGUACUAAACAGCGAACAUCAUGUCCCUUCUCAAAGAUUAUGUUACUUACUUGCAACAGAAUAGGGUUUUUCUCUGGAUUAGAAGCUAACAUUUAUUAAGAUAUUAUCUUAUU